GGACCCGCACAAGUAGUGGAGCAUGCGGAUUAAUUCGAUGCAACGCGAAGAACCUUACCAAGGCUUGACAUAUAGAGGAAAAGUGCAGAAAUGCACUCCCCGCAAGGUCUCUAUACAGGUGGUGCAUGGUUGUCGUCAGCUCGUGUCGUGAGAUGUUGGGUUAAGUCCCGCAACGAGCGCAACCCUCGUCCUAUGUUGCCAGCACGUAAUGGUGGGAACUCAUGGGAUACUGCCGGGGUCAACUCGGAGGAAGGUGGGGAUGACGUCAAAUCAUCAUGCCCCUUAUGUCUUGGGCUUCACGCAUGCUACAAUGGCCGGUACAGAGGGCUGCAAUACCGCAAGGUGGAGCGAAUCCCAAAAAGCCGGUCUCAGUUCGGAUUGAGGUCUGCAACUCGACCUCAUG
This 403-nucleotide ribosomal RNA is filed under the name uncultured bacterium. RNAcentral describes it as "bacterial SSU rRNA". It matches the Rfam family "Bacterial small subunit ribosomal RNA", at positions 917 to 1322 of the family's 1533-position model. The record is from RNAcentral.